RNAcentral lists this non-coding RNA (46 nucleotides) under Schistosoma margrebowiei. Lineage: Eukaryota; Metazoa; Platyhelminthes; Trematoda; Strigeidida; Schistosomatidae. The record is from RNAcentral.
GUACUGCUGAGGAGUUCCACAAUAAGACGAAACGGCCGUCCAGUGC